GGUUAAGCGACUAAGCGUACACGGUGGAUGCCCUGGCAGUCAGAGGCGAUGAAGGACGUGCUAAUCUGCGAAAAGCGUCGGUAAGGUGAUAUGAACCGUUACAGCCGGCGAUGUCCGAAUGGGGAAACCCAGUGCAAUUCGUUGCACUAUCGUUAACUGAAUACAUAGGUUAACGAGGCGAACCGGGGGAACUGAAACAUCUAAGUACCCCGAGGAAAAGAAAUCAACCGAGAUUCCCCCAGUAGCGGCGAGCGAACGGGGAGCAGCCCAGAGUCUGAAUCAGCUUGUGUGUUAGUGGAACGGUCUGGAAAGUCCGACGGUACAGGGUGAUAGUCCCGUACACCAAAAUGCACAGGUUGUGAACUCGAAGAGUAGGGCGGGACACGUGGUAUCCUGUCUGAAUAUGGGGGGACCAUCCUCCAAGGCUAAAUACUCCUGACUGACCGAUAGUGAACCAGUACCGUGAGGGAAAGGCGAAAAGAACCCCGGCGAGGGGAGUGAAAAAGAACCUGAAACCGUGUACGUACAAGCAGUGGGAGCACCUUCGGGUGUGACUGCGUACCUUUUGUAUAAUGGGUCAGCGACUUAUAUUCUGUAGCAAGGUUAACCGUAUAGGGGAGCCGCAGGGAAACCGAGUCUUAACUGGGCGUUAAGUUGCAGGGUAUAGACCCGAAACCCGGUGAUCUAGCCAUGGGCAGGUUGAAGGUUGGGUAACACUAACUGGAGGACCGAACCGACUAAUGUUGAAAAAUUAGCGGAUGACUUGUGGCUGGGGGUGAAAGGCCAAUCAAACCGGGAGAUAGCUGGUUCUCCCCGAAAGCUAUUUAGGUAGCGCCUCGUGAAUUCAUCUUCGGGGGUAGAGCACUGUUUCGGCUAGGGGGUCAUCCCGACUUACCAACCCGAUGCAAACUACGAAUACCGAAGAAUGUUAUCACGGGAGACACACGGCGGGUGCUAACGUCCGUCGUGAAGAGGGAAACAACCCAGACCGCCAGCUAAGGUCCCAAAGUCACAGUUAAGUGGGAAACGAUGUGGGAAGGCACAGACAGCCAGGAUGUUGGCUUAGAAGCAGCCAUCAUUUAAAGAAAGCGUAAUAGCUCACUGGUCGAGUCGGCCUGCGCGGAAGAUGUAACGGGGCUAAACUGUGCACCGAAGCUGCGGCAGCGACACUAUGUGUUGUUGGGUAGGGGAGCGUUCUGUAAGCCUGCGAAGGUGGCCUGUGAGGGUUGCUGGAGGUAUCAGAAGUGCGAAUGCUGACAUAAGUAACGAUAAUGCGGGUGAAAAGCCCGCACGCCGGAAGACCAAGGGUUCCUGUCCAACGUUAAUCGGGGCAGGGUGAGUCGACCCCUAAGGCGAGGCCGAAAGGCGUAGUCGAUGGGAAACAGGUUAAUAUUCCUGUACUUGGUGUUACUGCGAAGGGGGGACGGAGAAGGCUAUGUUAGCCGGGCGACGGUUGUCCCGGUUUAAGCAUGUAGGCGGAGGUUCCAGGUAAAUCCGGUACCUUUUAACGCUGAGGUGUGAUGACGAGGCACUACGGUGCUGAAGUAACAAAUGCCCUGCUUCCAGGAAAAGCCUCUAAGCAUCAGGUAACAUUGAAUCGUACCCCAAACCGACACAGGUGGUCAGGUAGAGAAUACCAAGGCGCUUGAGAGAACUCGGGUGAAGGAACUAGGCAAAAUGGUGCCGUAACUUCGGGAGAAGGCACGCUGAUAUGUAGGUGAAGCCCCUGCGGGUGGAGCUGAAAUCAGUCGAAGAUACCAGCUGGCUGCAACUGUUUAUUAAAAACACAGCACUGUGCAAACACGAAAGUGGACGUAUACGGUGUGACGCCUGCCCGGUGCCGGAAGGUUAAUUGAUGGGGUUAUCCGUAAGGAGAAGCUCUUGAUCGAAGCCCCGGUAAACGGCGGCCGUAACUAUAACGGUCCUAAGGUAGCGAAAUUCCUUGUCGGGUAAGUUCCGACCUGCACGAAUGGCGUAAUGAUGGCCAGGCUGUCUCCACCCGAGACUCAGUGAAAUUGAACUCGCUGUGAAGAUGCAGUGUACCCGCGGCAAGACGGAAAGACCCCGUGAACCUUUACUAUAGCUUGACACUGAACAUUGAGCCUUGAUGUGUAGGAUAGGUGGGAGGCUUUGAAGCGUGGACGCCAGUCUGCGUGGAGCCAACCUUGAAAUACCACCCUUUAAUGUUUGAUGUUCUAACGUUGGCCCCUUAUCGGGGUUGCGGACAGUGUCUGGUGGGUAGUUUGACUGGGGCGGUCUCCUCCCAAAGAGUAACGGAGGAGCACGAAGGUUAGCUAAUCCUGGUCGGACAUCAGGAGGUUAGUGCAAUGGCAUAAGCUAGCUUGACUGCGAGCGUGACGGCGCGAGCAGGUGCGAAAGCAGGUCAUAGUGAUCCGGUGGUUCUGAAUGGAAGGGCCAUCGCUCAACGGAUAAAAGGUACUCCGGGGAUAACAGGCUGAUACCGCCCAAGAGUUCAUAUCGACGGCGGUGUUUGGCACCUCGAUGUCGGCUCAUCACAUCCUGGGGCUGAAGUAGGUCCCAAGGGUAUGGCUGUUCGCCAUUUAAAGUGGUACGCGAGCUGGGUUUAGAACGUCGUGAGACAGUUCGGUCCCUAUCUGCCGUGGGCGCUGGAGAAUUGAGGGGGGCUGCUCCUAGUACGAGAGGACCGGAGUGGACGCAUCACUGGUGUUCGGGUUGUCAUGCCAAUGGCAUUGCCCGGUAGCUAAAUGCGGAAGAGAUAAGUGCUGAAAGCAUCUAAGCACGAAACUUGCCCCGAGAUGAGUUCUCCCUGACUCCUUGAGAGUCCUGAAGGAACGUUAAAGACGAUGACGUUGAUAGGUCGGGUGUGUAAGCGUAGCGAUACGUUGAGCUAACCGAUACUAAUGAACCGUGAGGCUUAACCUU
RNAcentral lists this ribosomal RNA (2904 nucleotides) under Klebsiella aerogenes. Its description in RNAcentral is "23S ribosomal RNA". It matches the Rfam family "Bacterial large subunit ribosomal RNA". The record is from RNAcentral. Lineage: Bacteria; Pseudomonadati; Pseudomonadota; Gammaproteobacteria; Enterobacterales; Enterobacteriaceae.